Molecule: long non-coding RNA, 1417 nt
Filed under: Sus scrofa (pig)
Lineage: Eukaryota; Metazoa; Chordata; Mammalia; Artiodactyla; Suidae
Description: lncRNA (ENSSSCG00000047735.2)
Source: RNAcentral
GAGAGAGCGGCGGCGCUAGGCGGGAGGACGCGCGGGAGGCAGAGGGGCUGGGAGAGCUUAGCCCGGGCCACCGAGCGCCAGCACGUCACGACUGCUCCAAACCCUGCACGUCCCGGGAGCUGCGCUUUCUGCGUCUGGGAGCGCCGACCUGUCGCAACCCAAGAGCUGUCAUUUCCGCACCGGGAUUCGGAGGGAUGGAUCGCCCGCCACGAAGGGGGCUGGUCUCGGUCCCCGAACUGCUCUGUCCCCGGGUGGAACAAUGCUAGUUUUUCUCUGCUAGGCUGCAAUUAACAUCUUACUUGUUCUGGCUGAUACAGGCUUUGUCGGGACCGCGGUGCGGCGACCGAGGUUGGGCUAGCGCGUUGCUUUCUGCAUGGCAAUGGGAUCGUGAUUGUGGGGUCUAAACUUUUGUUUUGUUAAUCCAUCCGAUUCUUUUUCGAGUUUCCCUAGUAACGGUUUGGGGACGGGAGUGAGAAGGGAGGAGGGAAAAGGGGAGGAGAAGGUACCAGAUUCUCGAUUUUGCAGGGAAAGAGAGAUAAAUUUCCAUUACUCCCCACCUUGAUUUUCUUGCCUCCUGGGUAGUUGGCUGACAACUAUUUGAUGAUGUAGCUUCCAAUUCUUGCUGCAAAAGGUCAUUCGCCUACCGCUUAUGUUUCUACUUGUAAACGCAGUUGGUGGCUUGCAAAACAGGUGCUAAAUUAGUGCGUUGAUGUGGUUGGAAGAGACCAUACUGGCUAAUUCGCGUUAAGUGUCCGAUCUUUACUCCCAAGGGUGAGUGGCUUGCGCGGCAGGUGAAGUUGAAUAAAACAUUUUUCCAUCAUUUUCUCUCCCUACUUUCUCUGCAUUUUUUCUUCCUCUUGUUCCUCACCCCUGGGGCGAUUGGAUAGCCCAGAACGUCGUUUUAAAAGAGGAUUAUAGUGAAAACAGGAAGAUGCCAGUGAUUUUUUUAUUCACAGAAGUUGCUUGAAAUAUUAAAAUUGGCUCUUUACUGCUUAAUACAUAUGAAUAGGGUGACCCUCUUUAAGGCUUGCUCUUCUGGGACAAGUGUAGAGAAUAACACGCUGUAAGGGAAACAGUUAAUCAUUCCCAACCAGCAGGUUUUAACUAUGUUCCAAGAAAAUUCACUGCUGAGAGAGCCGCCUGGGUGGCGUUUUGGUUUUGUGCCAUUUUUGGUUCAUUCUGAUAUUUUUUAUUCAUUUAAGAGAAUGUGAAAGGAAAAUAGGGUUUACGUCCAGGGCAUAAUCCAAAACAUUAUAUCUUCAGCAACACAUUUUCUUUUAAAAACAAACAAUAUUCAGCAAUACAAAGAAGAAGCACAUUUCAUUUAUUCCCACUUCUUCAAAGAUUGUGAUUAUGAUAUUUACAAGACAUUUAAUCAGUACUGUUAUUUGCCAGAAGCAAAAAUAAAGGAACUAAU